UACGAAGGGGGCUAGCGUUGCUCGGAAUCACUGGGCGUAAAGGGUGCGUAGGCGGGUCUUUAAGUCAGGGGUGAAAUCCUGGAGCUCAACUCCAGAACUGCCUUUGAUACUGAGGAUCUUGAGUAUGGGAGAGGUGAGUGGAACUGCGAGUGUAGAGGUGAAAUUCGUAGAUAUUAGGAAGAACACCAGUGGCGAAGGCGGCUCACUGGCCCGGUACUGACGCUGAGGCGCGAAAGCGUGGGGAGCAAACAGG
Molecule: ribosomal RNA, 253 nt
Filed under: uncultured bacterium
Lineage: Bacteria
Description: partial 16S ribosomal RNA
Rfam family: Bacterial small subunit ribosomal RNA
Source: RNAcentral